CAGAGUUCGUGCCCUCACGGGUAGAUCUCCCACCCUUGUGUAAUCAUAACUAUCUGUUGCUUUGGCGGGCCGCGAGUUCGCUCGCUCUAGCGUCCGCCAGAGGACCAUCAAACUCUGAAUGUUAGUGUCGUCUGAGUACUAUAUAAUAGUUA
Molecule: unclassified non-coding RNA, 152 nt
Filed under: uncultured Helotiales
Lineage: Eukaryota; Fungi; Ascomycota; Leotiomycetes; Helotiales
Source: RNAcentral